UACGUAGGGUGCAAGCGUUGUCCGGAAUUAUUGGGCGUAAAGAGCUCGUAGGCGGCUUGCCACGUCGACUGUGAAAACCCGGGGCUCAACUCCGGGCCUGCAGUCGAUACGGGCUGGCUUGAGUGCGGUAGGGGAGACUGGAAUUCCUGGUGUAGCGGUGAAAUGCGCAGAUAUCAGGAGGAACACCGGUGGCGAAGGCGGGUCUCUGGGCCGAUACUGACGCUGAGGAGCGAAAGCGUGGGGAGCGAACAGG
This 253-nucleotide ribosomal RNA is filed under the name uncultured bacterium. RNAcentral's name for it is "partial 16S ribosomal RNA". It matches the Rfam family "Bacterial small subunit ribosomal RNA", at positions 524 to 776 of the family's 1533-position model. The record is from RNAcentral.